This 460-nucleotide ribosomal RNA is filed under the name uncultured bacterium. RNAcentral's name for it is "partial 16S ribosomal RNA". It matches the Rfam family "Bacterial small subunit ribosomal RNA", at positions 338 to 795 of the family's 1533-position model. The record is from RNAcentral.
CCUACGGGAGGCAGCAGUGAGGAAUAUUGGUCAAUGGACGAGAGUCUGAACCAGCCAAGUCGCGUGAAGGAAGACUGCUCUAUGGGUUGUAAACUUCUUUUAUAAAGGAAUAAAACGAGGCACGUGUGCCUUUUUGCAUGUACUUUACGAAUAAGGAUCGGCUAACUCCGUGCCAGCAGCCGCGGUAAUACGGAGGAUUCGAGCGUUAUCCGGAUUUAUUGGGUUUAAAGGGAGCGUAGAUGGGUUGUUAAGUCAGUUGUGAAAGUUUGCGGCUCAACCGUAAAAUUGCAAUUGAUACUGUCAGUCUUGAGUAUAGUUGAGGUAGGCGGAAUUCGUGGUGUAGCGGUGAAAUGCUUAGAUAUCACGAAGAACCCCGAUUGCGAAGGCAGCUUACUAAACUGUGACUGACAUUGAUGCUCGAAAGUGUGGGGAGCAAACAGGAUUAGAUACCCCUGUAGUC